This 676-nucleotide ribosomal RNA is filed under the name uncultured bacterium. Its description in RNAcentral is "bacterial SSU rRNA". It matches the Rfam family "Bacterial small subunit ribosomal RNA", at positions 136 to 798 of the family's 1533-position model. The record is from RNAcentral.
GUGGGGGAUAACAUUUGGAAACAGAUGCUAAUACCGCAUAGAUCCAAGAACCGCAUGGUUCUUGGCUCAAAGAUGGCGUAAGCUAUCGCUUUUGGAUGGACCCGCGGCGUAUUAGCUAGUUGGUGAGGUGAUGGCUCACCAAGGCGAUGAUACGUAGCCGAACUGAGAGGUUGAUCGGCCACAUUGGGACUGAGACACGGCCCAAACUCCUACGGGAGGCAGCAGUAGGGAAUCUUCCACAAUGGACGCAAGUCUGAUGGAGCAACGCCGCGUGAGUGAAGAAGGCUUUCGGGUCUUUAAACUCUGUUGUUGGAGAAGAAUGGUCGGCAGAGUAACUGUUGUCGGCGUGACGGUAUCCAACCAGAAAGCCACGGCUAACUACGUGCCAGCAGCCGCGGUAAUACGUAGGUGGCAAGCGUUAUCCGGAUUUAUUGGGCGUAAAGCGAGCGCAGGCGGUUUUUUAAGUCUGAUGUGAAAGCCCUCGGCUUAACCGAGGAAGCGCAUCGGAAACUGGGAAACUUGAGUGCAGAAGAGGACAGUGGAACUCCAUGUGUAGCGGUGAAAUGCGUAGAUAUAUGGAAGAACACCAGUGGCGAAGGCGGCUGUCUGGUCUGUAACUGACGCUGAGGCUCGAAAGCAUGGGUAGCGAACAGGAUUAGAUACCCUGGUAGUCCAU